GAUGAACGCUGGCGGCGUGCCUAAUACAUGCAAGUCGAGCGAACAGAUGAGGAGCUUGCUCCUCUGACGUUAGCGGCGGACGGGUGAGUAACACGUGGAUAACCUACCUAUAAGACUGGGAUAACUUCGGGAAACCGGAGCUAAUACCGGAUAAUAUAUUGAACCGCAUGGUUCAAUAGUGAAAGACGGUUUUGCUGUCACUUAUAGAUGGAUCCGCGCCGCAUUAGCUAGUUGGUAAGGUAACGGCUUACCAAGGCAACGAUGCGUAGCCGACCUGAGAGUGUGAUCGGCCACACUGGAACUGAGACACGGUCCAGACUCCUACGGGAGGCAGCAGUAGGGAAUCUUCCGCAAUGGGCGAAAGCCUGACGGAGCAACGCCGCGUGAGUGAUGAAGGUCUUCGGAUCGUAAAACUCUGUUAUUAGGGAAGAACAAAUGUGUAAGUAACUAUGCACGUCUUGACGGUACCUAAUCAGAAAGCCACGGCUAACCACGUG
Molecule: ribosomal RNA, 497 nt
Filed under: uncultured bacterium
Lineage: Bacteria
Description: partial 16S ribosomal RNA
Rfam family: Bacterial small subunit ribosomal RNA
Source: RNAcentral